UACGGGGGAUGCAAGCGUUAUCCGGAAUCAUUGGGCGUAAAGCGCCUGUAGGUUGUUUAAUAAGUCUGUUGUUAAAGACUGGGGCUUAACCCCAGGAAAGCAAUGGAAACUACUAGACUAGAGUAUGGUAGGGGUAAAGGGAAUUUCUAGUGUAGCGGUGAAAUGCGUAGAUAUUAGAAAGAACACCGGUGGCGAAAGCGCUCUACUGGACCAUUACUGACACUCAGAGACGAAAGCUAGGGGAGCGAAAGGGAUUAGAUACCCCUGUAGUCCUAGCCGUAAACGAUGGAUACUAGAUGUUGUGUUUUUAUACAGUAUCGUAGCUAACGCGUUAAGUAUCCCGCCUGGGGAGUACGCUCGCAAGGGUG
This 368-nucleotide ribosomal RNA is filed under the name uncultured phototrophic eukaryote. Its description in RNAcentral is "SSU rRNA". It matches the Rfam family "Bacterial small subunit ribosomal RNA", at positions 524 to 896 of the family's 1533-position model. The record is from RNAcentral.